RNAcentral lists this microRNA precursor (143 nucleotides) under Gossypium arboreum. Its description in RNAcentral is "MIR7502 microRNA precursor family". It matches the Rfam family "MIR7502 microRNA precursor family". Lineage: Eukaryota; Viridiplantae; Streptophyta; Magnoliopsida; Malvales; Malvaceae. The record is from Rfam by way of RNAcentral.
UGUUAAAAUUUUCAGUCAUUUUUAUUAUUAAGAACGGACAUGAUUAAUUGAAUAACUAAAAGUGACAUGUAGUAUACCACGUGUACCUUAUGUUGAUGUAUGAAGACUCGUUUUUAUAGUAGAAAUGGAUUGAUUUUUUAACA